GGUUGUGGCUCAGUGGUAGAGCACUUUCUUAGCACAUGUGAGGCACUGGGUUCGAUCCUCAGCACCA
This 67-nucleotide transfer RNA is filed under the name Marmota monax (woodchuck). RNAcentral describes it as "tRNA.Ala". Lineage: Eukaryota; Metazoa; Chordata; Mammalia; Rodentia; Sciuridae. The record is from RNAcentral.